This 476-nucleotide ribosomal RNA is filed under the name Porphyromonas gulae. RNAcentral's name for it is "bacterial SSU rRNA". It matches the Rfam family "Bacterial small subunit ribosomal RNA", at positions 9 to 473 of the family's 1533-position model. Lineage: Bacteria; Pseudomonadati; Bacteroidota; Bacteroidia; Bacteroidales; Porphyromonadaceae. The record is from RNAcentral.
GAGUUUGAUUAUGGCUCAGGAUGAACGCUAGCGAUAGGCUUAACACAUGCAAGUCGAGGGGCAGCAUGAUCUUAGCUUGCUAAGGUUGAUGGCGACCGGCGCACGGGUGCGUAACGCGUAUGCAACUUGCCUUACAGAGGGGGAUAACCCGUUGAAAGACGGACUAAUACCGCAUACACUUGUUUGGUUGCAUGAUCGGGCAAGGAAAUAUUUAUAGCUGUAAGAUAGGCAUGCGUCCCAUUAGCUGGUUGGUGAGGUAACGGCUCACCAAGGCUACGAUGGGUAGGGGAACUGAGAGGUUUAUCCCCCACACUGGUACUGAGACACGGACCAGACUCCUACGGGAGGCAGCAGUGAGGAAUAUUGGUCAAUGGGCGAGAGCCUGAACCAGCCAAGUCGCGUGAAGGAAGACUGUCCUAAGGAUUGUAAACUUCUUUUAUACGGGAAUAAACGGGCGAUACGUGUAUUGCUAUGAA